This 194-nucleotide unclassified non-coding RNA is filed under the name plant metagenome. RNAcentral describes it as "partial contains small subunit ribosomal RNA and internal transcribed spacer 1". The stretch from base 1 to 46 matches the Rfam family "Eukaryotic small subunit ribosomal RNA", at positions 1786 to 1831 of the family's 1831-position model. The record is from RNAcentral.
AAGUCGUAACAAGGUUUCCGUAGGUGAACCUGCGGAAGGAUCAUUACCUAGAGUUGUAGGCUUUGCCUGCUAUCUCUUACCCAUGUCUUUUGAGUACCUUCGUUUCCUCGGCGGGUUCGCCCGCCCGCAUUGGACAAUUUGAAACCAAUUUUGACCAGUUUGCAAUCAGCGUCUGAAAACAAUAAUAGUUACAA